Molecule: unclassified non-coding RNA, 365 nt
Filed under: uncultured Sarcosomataceae
Lineage: Eukaryota; Fungi; Ascomycota; Pezizomycetes; Pezizales; Sarcosomataceae
Description: sequence contains ITS1
Rfam family: 5.8S ribosomal RNA (bases 1-105)
Source: RNAcentral
GAAAUGCGAUAAGUAGUGUGAAUUGCAGAAUUCAGUGAAUCAUCGAAUCUUUGAACGCACAUUGCGCCUUCUGGUAUUCCGGGAGGCAUGCCUGUUCGAACGUCAUCAAGCCACUCGCCUGCAACCGUUGCUAGCAACGGUUGCACUUGGCGUCUGCUGGCGGAUGCGCGCCCGCUUCGGAGCACGCACCGCUGAAAUGCACUGGCGGGCCCCUCACGGCUGUAAUUGUGAUAAGAACCUUCUUACGAUUGCAAGACUGAUGGGCGCCUAGCCGCAGACACCCUCGCACCCUCCACGGGGCUGACGGGGACACACAUCUCUUGACUUCGAAUCAGGUAGGUUCACCCGGCACACAAGGUUUACCA